Non-coding RNA from Ciona intestinalis (vase tunicate), 286 nucleotides. The record is from RefSeq and is a predicted model, not a curated record. NCBI's taxonomy places the organism in Eukaryota, Metazoa, Chordata, Ascidiacea, Phlebobranchia, Cionidae.
GUGGGGUCGGUUUCUCACGAUUCGUGGAGGAUAUCCCGGAAGGCGCUCACGAAUUUCACGAGAUUUCUGCCAUUCAUAUUUCAGCUUUUGACACGUGGUUUUCCGAGCUGAAAAAAUCACUCGGCAGUGAGCAUAAGGGUUCUCAAAUGGCGGUGGGCGCAAGAGAGUUCCUUCAGACGCUUUGUCGCUUUGUGAACGAAGUGUGGAAUCAGCAGUGAAUGGACGAUCGUGUUUUCGAGGAGACUUAAAUAGUAAGACGGUGAGCCUUGAACCAGGGAUCCUCCAG